UACGGAGGGUGCGAGCGUUGUCCGGAAUCAUUGGGCGUAAUGGGUGCGUAGGUGGCGGGGUAAGUCAGGUGUGAAAUCUCGGGGCUCAACCCCGAAACUGCAUUUGAUACUGCCUUGCUCGAGUACUGGAGAGGAGAUUGGAAUUUACGGUGUAGCAGUGAAAUGCGUAGAUAUCGUAAGGAAGACCAGUGGCGAAGGCGAAUCUCUGGACAGUUACUGACACUGAGGCGCGAAGGCCAGGGGAGCAAACGGG
Molecule: ribosomal RNA, 253 nt
Filed under: uncultured bacterium
Lineage: Bacteria
Description: partial 16S ribosomal RNA
Rfam family: Bacterial small subunit ribosomal RNA
Source: RNAcentral